Molecule: ribosomal RNA, 467 nt
Filed under: uncultured bacterium
Lineage: Bacteria
Description: partial 16S ribosomal RNA
Rfam family: Bacterial small subunit ribosomal RNA
Source: RNAcentral
GAUGAACGCUGGCGGCGUGCUUAACACAUGCAAGUCGAACGGAAAGGCCUCUGCUUGCAGGGGUACUCGAGUGGCGAACGGGUGAGUAACACGUGGGUGAUCUGCCCUGCACUUCGGGAUAAGCCUGGGAAACUGGGUCUAAUACCGGAUAGGACAAUGGUUUGGAUGCUGUUGUGGAAAGUUUUUCGGUGUGGGAUGAGCUCGCGGCCUAUCAGCUUGUUGGUGGGGUAAUGGCCUACCAAGGCGUCGACGGGUAGCCGGCCUGAGAGGGUGUACGGACACAUUGGGACUGAGAUACGGCCCAGACUCCUACGGGAGGCAGCAGUGGGGAAUAUUGCACAAUGGGCGCAAGCCUGAUGCAGCGACGCCGCGUGGGGGAUGACGGCCUUCGGGUUGUAAACUCCUUUCGCUAGGGACGAAGCGUUUUUGUGACGGUACCUGGAGAAGAAGCACCGGCUAACUACGUG